RNAcentral lists this ribosomal RNA (265 nucleotides) under uncultured archaeon. Its description in RNAcentral is "partial 16S ribosomal RNA". It matches the Rfam family "Archaeal small subunit ribosomal RNA", at positions 717 to 982 of the family's 1478-position model. The record is from RNAcentral.
AGUCACUGACAUUAGAUACCCGUGUAGUCCUAGCCGUAAACGAUACUCGCUAGGUGUCGGCCACGGUGCGACCGUUGUCGGUGCCGUAGGGAAGCCGAGAAGCGAGCCACCUGGGAAGUACGGCCGCAAGGCUGAAACUUAAAGGAAUUGGCGGGGGAGCACAACAACGGGUGGAGCUUGCGGUUUAAUUGGAUUCAACGCCGGAAAUCUUACCGGGACCGACAGCAACAUGAAGGCCAAGCUGAAGACUUUGCCGGAUUAGCUG